Molecule: ribosomal RNA, 628 nt
Filed under: Mycobacterium sp. F42
Lineage: Bacteria; Bacillati; Actinomycetota; Actinomycetes; Mycobacteriales; Mycobacteriaceae
Description: bacterial SSU rRNA
Rfam family: Bacterial small subunit ribosomal RNA
Source: RNAcentral
AAGCCUGAUGCAGCGACGCCGCGUGGGGGAUGACGGCCUUCGGGUUGUAAACCUCUUUCAGCACAGACGAAGCGUGAGUGACGGUAUGUGCAGAAGAAGCACCGGCCAACUACGUGCCAGCAGCCGCGGUAAUACGUAGGGUGCGAGCGUUGUCCGGAAUUACUGGGCGUAAAGAGCUCGUAGGUGGUUUGUCGCGUUGUUCGUGAAAACUCACAGCUUAACUGUGGGCGUGCGGGCGAUACGGGCAGACUGGAGUACUGCAGGGGAGACUGGAAUUCCUGGUGUAGCGGUGGAAUGCGCAGAUAUCAGGAGGAACACCGGUGGCGAAGGCGGGUCUCUGGGCAGUAACUGACGCUGAGGAGCGAAAGCGUGGGGAGCGAACAGGAUUAGAUACCCUGGUAGUCCACGCCGUAAACGGUGGGUACUAGGUGUGGGUUUCCUUCCUUGGGAUCCGUGCCGUAGCUAACGCAUUAAGUACCCCGCCUGGGGAGUACGGCCGCAAGGCUAAAACUCAAAGGAAUUGACGGGGGCCCGCACAAGCGGCGGAGCAUGUGGAUUAAUUCGAUGCAACGCGAAGAACCUUACCUGGGUUUGACAUGCACAGGACGCUGGUAGAGAUAUCAGUUCC